This 484-nucleotide ribosomal RNA is filed under the name uncultured bacterium. RNAcentral's name for it is "partial 16S ribosomal RNA". It matches the Rfam family "Bacterial small subunit ribosomal RNA", at positions 30 to 507 of the family's 1533-position model. The record is from RNAcentral.
AUUGAACGCUGGCGGCAGGCCUAACACAUGCAAGUCGAGCGGAUGAAGGGAGCUUGCUCCUGGAUUCAGCGGCGGACGGGUGAGUAAUGCCUAGGAAUCUGCCUGGUAGUGGGGGAUAACGUCCGGUGACGGGCGCUAAUACUGCCUACGUCCUGAGGGAGCAAGUGGGGGAUCUUCGGACCUCACGCUAUCAGAUGAGCCUAGGUCGGAUUAGCUAGCUGGUGGGGUAAAGGCCUACCAAGGCGACGAUCCGUAACUGGUCUGAAAGGAUGAUCAGUCACACUGGAACUGAGACGCGGUCCAGACUCCUACGGGAGGCAGCUGUGGGGAAUAUUGGACAAAGGGCGAAAGCCUGAUCCAGCCAUGCCGCGUGUGUGAAGAAGGUCUUCGGAUUGUAAAGCACUUUAAGUUGGGAGGAAGGGCAGUAAGUUAAUACCUUGCUGUUUUGACGUUACCAACAGAAUAAGCACCGGCUAACUUCGUG